Molecule: transfer RNA, 72 nt
Organism: Ovis aries (sheep)
Lineage: Eukaryota; Metazoa; Chordata; Mammalia; Artiodactyla; Bovidae
Rfam family: tRNA
About the family: Transfer RNA (tRNA) molecules are approximately 80 nucleotides in length. Their secondary structure includes four short double-helical elements and three loops (D, anti-codon, and T loops).
Source: Rfam
UCCUUGGUGUUUCAGAUGGUAAAGAAUCUGCCUGCAAUGCAGGAGACCUAGGUUCAAUCCCUGGUUUGGGAA